RNAcentral lists this ribosomal RNA (253 nucleotides) under Bacteroides stercoris ATCC 43183. RNAcentral describes it as "partial 16S ribosomal RNA". It matches the Rfam family "Bacterial small subunit ribosomal RNA", at positions 524 to 776 of the family's 1533-position model. The record is from RNAcentral. Lineage: Bacteria; Pseudomonadati; Bacteroidota; Bacteroidia; Bacteroidales; Bacteroidaceae.
UACGGAGGAUCCGAGCGUUAUCCGGAUUUAUUGGGUUUAAAGGGAGCGUAGGCGGGUUGUUAAGUCAGUUGUGAAAGUUUGCGGCUCAACCGUAAAAUUGCAGUUGAUACUGGCGACCUUGAGUGCAACAGAGGUAGGCGGAAUUCGUGGUGUAGCGGUGAAAUGCGUAGAUAUUAGGAGGAACACCAGUGGCGAAGGCGGAUUGCUUGACGACAACUGACGGUGAGGCGCGAAAGCGUGGGGAGCGAACAGG